Molecule: ribosomal RNA, 550 nt
Filed under: Rhyncophoromyia maculineura
Lineage: Eukaryota; Metazoa; Arthropoda; Insecta; Diptera; Phoridae
Description: partial 16S ribosomal RNA
Rfam family: Bacterial large subunit ribosomal RNA (bases 407-550)
Source: RNAcentral
GUUUAUCAAAAACAUGUCUUUUUGAAUUUAAUUUAAAGUCUAACCUGCCCACUGAAUUUUUUUUAAAUGGCCGCAGUAUUUUAACUGUGCAAAGGUAGCAUAAUCAUUAGUCUUUUAAUUGAAGGCUGGAAUGAAUGGUUGGAUGAAAUAUAAACUGUUUCAUAAAAAUUUUAAAUAAAAUUUUAUUUUUUAGUUAAAAAGCUAAAAUAUUAUUAAAAGACGAGAAGACCCUAUAAAUCUUUAUAUUUAGUAAAUUUUAAUUAUUUUGAUAAUUUAAAUUAUGAUUUAUUUAAAUAUUUUAUUGGGGUGAUAUUAAAAUUUAAUAAACUUUUAAUUUUUUUUUAUUUACAUUAAUUAAUGAAUUGUUGAUCCAUAAAUAAUGAUUAAAAAAUUAAGUUACUUUAGGGAUAACAGCGUAAUUUUUUUAGAGAGUUCAUAUUGAUAAAAAAGAUUGCGACCUCGAUGUUGGAUUAAGAUAUAAUUUUAGGUGCAGUAGCUUAAAUUUAAAGUCUGUUCGACUUUUAAAUUCUUACAUGAUCUGAGUUCAAAC